This 274-nucleotide ribosomal RNA is filed under the name uncultured bacterium. Its description in RNAcentral is "partial 16S ribosomal RNA". It matches the Rfam family "Bacterial small subunit ribosomal RNA", at positions 523 to 796 of the family's 1533-position model. The record is from RNAcentral.
AUACGGAGGGUGCAAGCGUUAUCCGGAAUCAUUGGGUUUAAAGGGUCCGUAGGCGGGCGAUUAAGUCAGAGGUGAAAUCCCACAGCUCAACUGUGGAACUGCCUUUGAUACUGGUUGUCUUGAGUUACAGUGAAGUAGAUAGAAUGUGUAGUGUAGCGGUGAAAUGCAUAGAUAUUACACAGAAUACCGAUUGCGAAGGCAGUCUACUAACUGUAUACUGACGCUAAUGGACGAAAGCGUGGGGAGCGAACAGGAUUAGAAACCCGAGUAGUCC